UUGUACCACUAGGGGUGCUUUAUAGGUAAAAGUUGAUUUUUUACCCACAAAAGCUGAGAUUGAAGUAUGACUUUAAGACCCUUAGAACCUGAUCUGGUUUAUACCAGCGUAGGGAAGUGGGGUCUGGAACUA
RNAcentral lists this non-coding RNA (132 nucleotides) under Peribacillus simplex. Its description in RNAcentral is "Bacillus simplex TPP". It matches the Rfam family "TPP riboswitch aptamer (THI element)". From Rfam's summary of the family: Vitamin B(1) in its active form thiamin pyrophosphate (TPP) is an essential coenzyme that is synthesised by coupling of pyrimidine and thiazole moieties in bacteria. Lineage: Bacteria; Bacillati; Bacillota; Bacilli; Caryophanales; Bacillaceae. The record is from RNAcentral.